UACGAAGGGGGCUAGCGUUGCUCGGAAUCACUGGGCGUAAAGCGCACGUAGGCGGCUUUCUAAGUCAGGGGUGAAAUCCUGGAGCUCAACUCCAGAACUGCCUUUGAUACUGGAGAGCUAGAGUCCGGAAGAGGUGAGUGGAACUGCGAGUGUUGAGGUGAAAUUCGUAGAUAUUCGCAAGAACACCAGUGGCGAAGGCGGCUCACUGGUCCGGUACUGACGCUGAGGUGCGAAAGCGUGGGGAGCAAACAGG
This 253-nucleotide ribosomal RNA is filed under the name uncultured bacterium. RNAcentral's name for it is "partial 16S ribosomal RNA". It matches the Rfam family "Bacterial small subunit ribosomal RNA", at positions 524 to 776 of the family's 1533-position model. The record is from RNAcentral.